Molecule: ribosomal RNA, 853 nt
Filed under: uncultured bacterium
Lineage: Bacteria
Description: bacterial SSU rRNA
Rfam family: Bacterial small subunit ribosomal RNA
Source: RNAcentral
CCUAAUACAUGCAAGUCGAACGGGGAAAGCUUUCGGGUGAGUACUAGUGGCGCACGGGUGAGUAACGCGUGGAUAAUCUGCCUUAGAGUGGGGGAUAACCAGUCGAAAGAUUGGCUAAUACCGCAUAAGACCACAAGAUCUGCGGAUCAAGGGGUCAAAGGUUUUUCGCUCUAAGAUGAGUCCGCGUAAGAUUAGCUAGUUGGUGAGGUAACGGCUCACCAAGGCGACGAUCUUUAACUGGUCUGAGAGGAUGAUCAGUCACACUGGAACUGAGACACGGUCCAGACUCCUACGGGAGGCAGCAGUAGGGAAUAUUGCACAAUGGAGGAAACUCUGAUGCAGCGACGCCGCGUGAGUGAUGAAGGCCUUCGGGUCGUAAAGCUCUGUCGCAGGGGAAUAACACAAUGAAUGUACCCUGUAAGAAAGGAUCGGCUAACUUCGUGCCAGCAGCCGCGGUAAGACGAGGGAUCCUAGCGUUGUUCGGAAUCAUUGGGCGUAAAGCGGGUGUAGGUGGCUUUGUAAGUCAGGUGUGAAAGCCUAGGGCUCAACCCUAGAAGUGCAUCUGAUACUGCGAAGCUUGAGUGCUGGAGAGGCUAUUAGAAUUGUUGGUGUAGUGGUGAAAUACGUAGAUAUCAACAGGAAUACCGGAGGCGAAGGCGGAUAGCUGGCCAGACACUGACACUCAGACCCGAAAGCGUGGGGAUCAAACAGGAUUAGAUACCCUGGUAGUCCACGCCGUAAACGAUGGAUACUUGUUGUUAGAGGUAUUGACCCCUUUAGUGACGAAGCUAACGCGUUAAGUAUCCCGCCUGGGGAGUACGGUCGCAAGAUUAAAACUCAAAGAAAUUGACGG